Molecule: long non-coding RNA, 2616 nt
Organism: Homo sapiens (human)
Lineage: Eukaryota; Metazoa; Chordata; Mammalia; Primates; Hominidae
Gene: STXBP5-AS1
Product: STXBP5 antisense RNA 1
Source: Ensembl
AGAAACACUCUGCUACAGAACAAGUGUCUUGGUUCACAGCAAAGAGGACAAAGAAAACAGCAAGUUUUAGGGGGUUGAAUCCUGGAUUCCCCUGGCAAACACCAUUCUACUUUCCGUCUCUAUGAAUUUGACUACUCGAAGUACCUCAUUAAAAGAAGAGAAAAAACAUCAAUUAGAAAAUAGAAAAGAGCCCUCCCUGGUGAAUUCCUGCUUCUCCUCCAUGUCAUCAUAGGUGUUGAUGGUGCUUGCCUCUGGAUAAUGCUGACUUCCUCUAGAGUGGUCACCAAGGUGAAAUGUUGGUGCCAAAUGAACUUUUCUGGUUCUUCUGAAUGUGGUGACCAGAUGGAUAUAAACGGGCUGUGGAAAAAGAGAAUGCAUGGCCAAAAAUGGUGGUGCUCUCUGUCCAAAAACUGAGGCCCUAUGACCAUGAAUGAAGCCAGAGGGCAGGUAGGAAUAGCACAAAUCUUCUCUAGAAUACAGAAAUAUUCUAGAGAUCACUGACGCAUUUGAGGGAAAUUGAAAACAAAACGAAACAGAACAAACAGAAGCCUUAAACAGUAAAAUAACAGCAAGAUGAAACUGAUUUAAGACAAUCAAAUAACAUCGUUUCCUGUUCAUUCUCCAAACACAAGCUUUCUCUCGCUUUGACAGAAGCAGAAAGACCCGGAGAAGGCCGGGAUGUCCUCAAUUUCCUUCUUUUCUGCUUACUCCUUUAAACAUCUCAGCAACCGCCUGUCACAUCUCCAGAAUUACAUCGGCCUCCCUUGAAGUAUCAUUUGCUCCAGAAGAAGCUGGUUGCCAUGUCUUGAGGACAGUAAACCCUCUGGGGAGGUUCCUGUGGUAAGGAACAAGGGCUCCUGGCAAUAGCCUCUGAGUGAGCCACCUUGAAAAUGGAUUGUCCAGCCCCAGUCAAGCUUUCAGAUGACUGUAGCUCCUGCCAAUGUCUUCACCACAACCUCAUGAGAUCCCAAGCUACAACCACUCAGAACUUCAUCUUUUGGGAAGCACCAGGGAGAGCUGCCUGUGCCUGGCAGAAGCUGCCCAUGCCCCACUGAUACCCCACAGUACUUCCUGUUCUGCUUAGUACUCCUGCUUCUUUCUACAAACAACUGUGAUUCUCUACCUGGGAGCUUCCUCUGGCCACAGGAGCCUGCUCACCUGAUUGGGACACCCUAGCAGUACUGGCUCAUAGAUGGAAGGGACUUGCCUUGUCGCUGAUGAGACUUUCGACUUGGACUUUUGAGUCAAUGCUGGAAUGAGUUAAGACUUUGGGGAACUGUUGGAAGGGUGUGAUUGUGUUUUGAAUUGUGAGGACAUGAGAUUUUGAAGAGGCUAAUGGCAGCGUCCCCACCUAAAUCUCUUCUUGAAUUGUAGUUCCCAUAAUCCCCACGUGUCGUGGGGUGGAGCCGGUGGAGAUAAUUGAAUCAUGGGAACACUUUCCCCCAUGCUGUUAUUGUGAUUGUGAAUUCUCACGAGAUCUGAUGGUUGUAUAAACGCCUUCCCUCUUCGCUGGGCACUCAUUUUUCUCCUUCCUGCCACCAUGUGAAGAAGGAUAUGCUUGCUUCUUGUGCCAUGAUUGUAAGUUUCCUGAGGCCUCCCCAGCCAUGCUGAACUGUGAGUCAAUUGAACCUCUUUCCUUUAUAAAUUACCUAGUCUUGGAUAUGUUUUUAUUAGCAGUGUGAGACAGGACUAAUACACAAAGGAUUUGAAAUCACAAAGGAGCUGUUUUCUGCUCCACCAUGGAAGUCUCACAUGCAUCACAUCUAUUCAUAUCCAUUUGCCACAACUAGACAAAAAGUCCUUUUUAAAAUCUGCCUAGAGAUCAGGAAGUAUUAUCUCUGGAUGCCUAGGCAGGAGAGGUGAAUCAGAUAUUGGUGGGCACUAGUGUGUUCUAUGAUACAUAGCUUAAUAAAAAUAAGUUUCAGAUAAAUCUAAAUAUACAUUAGAAUACUGUAACCACAGUAGAAAAAAAUAUUGGCUCCUUUUUGUGAUAAACUAAUGAUGGUAAAUGCACCCUAUUUAAGCAAGAAAAGAAACUGAUCUGCCAUAAAGAAAACAAUGACAUAUUUAACUACAAAAUAUGUUACAAAAUAUUAAUAUCCCUAAUGGACAAAUGAGUUCCAAUAAAUGGAUAACAAAAAACCAAUAAGUCUGUAGAAAAAUGGAGAAAAUAUAUUUGCAGAAUAUUUAUACAGGUGGUAAUGAAAUUGACAAUGAUGUUUAUCAUCAGCAGUAAACAGUAAAAAGUUUCACCCACCAGGACUAUAGAAAUUUUUCAAAUGGAUAAUUUUCAGAAUCAGCAAAGUUAUAGAAAAGUAGGUACCAGUUGCACAUACCAUUGGAGGAAAUGUAAAAUAUAGUUACCUUGUGGAAAGUAAUCUGAUGUAAUAUAUUAAAAUUUUAUCCAUGUAUGUCCUAUAAUUCAGCAAUUCCAUGUUGGGGAAUCCAUACAAAGAAAUACUUAUACACAUGCAGAAGGAGCUAAGUUUAAGAAAGCACACAUUUCAGCGGGUUGUGGUGUCUCACCCCUGUAAUCCCAGCACAUUGGGAGGCCGAGGUUGGUGGAUCACCUGAGGUCAGGAGUUUGAGACCAGCCUGGCCAACAUGGUGAAACCC